GUGAGACACUCUAAGAGGGAAGGGCCCAGUUCAGAGAAGCAAGGCAUUCCUUGCAAGAGAGUUGGGAAAAAUCACAGCCUGGUCUUUUCCCCGCUGUAGAUGGAAUGGCUGCUGUAGUUCUAAUCCAGUGCUUGCAUCUCACCCAGGACGCUCCAAUGGAAAGAAAAGAAAGCUGUGCAGCAGGCCGCUCCAGGCCUUGCCCCCGCCCAGCCCCUCUGGCCUAUUGUCCCAGCCCUGCCAGGAAGCACUGAUUCCCAGUCGAGUCACAGCUAUGUCAAGAAUGUCCAGGCGGAGUAACACUGGUGGCUCCAUGCCAGGCCCUGUGGAGGCACAUCCCCAGCGCCAUCUGAUCCUGGUCGGCACACCCCCCUCUCCUCCCUUGCUGGGAUCUGGGUUUCCACGGCAACAGGAUUAAAGGCUGGAAUAUCACUGUUUAUUCUUUGGCCUGUGCCAGGAAAUGAGAGGCCUUCUCUCUCCCUUACUCCAGCUGCCAUCUAGGGGUGUAGUAUUCAUGGAAACUUUGGGCAGGGUCCUGCCUGCUUCAGGGAAAUGGACCGCGCAGGGAACAAAUAAAGCAACUCAUCUGGGGGGAGCGGGGAGGGGGCUGUCCUUGACUUUUAGGUUCCUCUGAGGGUACUCAGCCUGGACAGCAGGGCACAUGAGAGAGCCAGUCACUUAGUAUUGACUCCCUUUUUCCAGGGAACAGAGCACAAUGCUUAUACUGUUUAACUGCCAAGCAGAACAAGCCCCAGGUGCCUAUCAUGCCUGCUGAACACAGAGGGUUUCCCCAAAGGAUAGUCACAAUAACCAUCAGGAGUCACUAAAUGGGGCAGACACGUACCCACACGAAUUAUUUGAGGCCUCUUUAUUUGUAACAAGCAACCUCUGUCCUCUGGACCCCACACCUUCAUCCUUUCUCAGGAUACAAGCUGCUGAGAACCAGCACGAUUUGGGACACAACACACUGCUGCAAUCAGCGGCUGGUUCAAAAAAUCCGGGAAAGUUUGUGAAUGCCUUUCAUUUCUUGGAACAUCUUCCGAUCAGCAGUGACGUGUUGGACUAGCAGCAAACCUUAAGCAGAAGUUUCACAAGUCUCAUGCUUUCCCCAGAAAUGCCUCCAGUUCUACAGUACUCUGGGAACUAAGUGAAUGUGUGAGAAAGUCACAUUUCCUUUCUUUGCCUCUCUACCAGAACUGAGACCGGUAGCACUGAAGUCACCACUGUGACAAUUUACUGGAUGGCAGGUGGACUUGCUUGGCAGAGCACAGUAAUGAGGCUGCAGCCCUGCCUGGCUCAACAGGCAGGAAAUACCCUGUCCCAACAGGAAAGUAUCUCUACCAAACGCAGGAUGCACACAGUCCUUAUCUAGUGCUUUACAAACUUAACCAGUUCCUGUCACCCAAAGUUCUGAGAACAAAGAAAACAAAACAGAAACUUGCCAGGCUGUGCGGUUGUCCUUUCAAACAUUGUAAAAGUGGAUCCAGAAGGCUCACUACAAGCGCACCUGAAUGAUUGUGCACAUACAGUUCACACGCUCAUGGCAAUGUCUGUUAAAUGAAAACUGGAGAUCCCGAGAGUGCAUGCACUACCACGGAGCGUGUUGUGAGAACUCUGGAUUUUUCACAGAUCCCUAGGUGGCGCCGCAAAAACCUGACAUUAAGCCGACAUUUAAAACCCAAGAUCAAAGAUUAGUUAUCUUGGUUUAAAUGUUGGGUUUUUGUGGCAUCACCAGAGGAUUGGCAAAAAAUCCUGAGUUCACGCAGCACAUUCCAUAGGAGCACAUGCACCACUGGGAUCUCCAGUUUCUUUACCUUCCCCAUACUGCAUUUUCACAAUUUUGGGUCUAGGCAUUUUUUUAUUUUUGUGACAUACAUAAACUCCACAAACCAGAUUAAAGUUCUUAUAAUUACAAAAGGAGUGUAGUGUAUAGCGAGAAGAUGUAGAUUUGACAUCAGUAAACACAUCUGAUAGUAUAAUGACCAAGUGAAAACCUUGUAGCCUUUUCCCUGUAGCUUUGUUUAGGGUGUCACCCCACAAUGAACUGUGACAAUUCAAGUGGAUGUAAUCUCCAUUAACUAAAAGAAGGGAAUCCGUUUAAUGUAUUCUAGGCUAUCUAUGAAAUGAAUAGAUGUUAACUACAAGGGGUCUUCAGCCUUUCCAGAUCUUGGACCUAGUUUUAACCACACUUGAAACAAAGGCACCAGUUUAUUGAUUAAUAUUACCUUCUUUCUUUUUCUCUGUCCUUUCCUCUCUUUCUCCUUCUAUUGUUGUCUCCUUUUCCUCUCCCCUUUAGAAUUGUGCGGUAUUCUGCUGCCCUCAUCUAUUUAUUUACGUCGCAUUUAUAUAUCACCCUGUAUAAAAUACCAGGGCAGUUUACAAUUUAAACAAACAGAAAACAGCAAGUAAAACCUAAAAAUAAUAGAAAACCAAUUAAAAUUACCAUAAACACAACUUAAAAACAUCAUAAACGAAAAGCCUGAUGAAACAGGUGUGUUUAAAACAAUCAGAGAUGGGAAGAUUCUGAUGACAUUUGGGAGUGUGUUCCAGAGCCCUGGGGCAACCCUAGACAAGGCCCGGUUUUGGGUUGCCUCCAAGCGAGCCUGUGGCAACUGCAACCGGAUCUCCCGGUUACAUGGCGGGUUUCAUGAAGUAGAAGGCUCUCUCUUAAAUACCCUGGACCCAAGCUGUUCAGGGCUUUAUGGGUAAUAAAAAGUACAAGGACUGCAGGAUUUUGGAACCGUAUCACAAGAUCAGACUUUACAGCUAUUACCUCUUGCUGGCUAGGGAGCAGCUCCAUCUCUCAUUCAGUUCAUCUAUCACCUUGCAGGGAGUUUGUGCACUUUUUGGUUUAUCAUUUGUACACAGAACUGCAUGUUCAGUUGUUUUAUCAGUUAGAUUAUUAAAUUAAGCAAUCUUUUGGUUGAGCUGAGUUGAGCUCAACACAGUCUGCUGUCACAAUACCCAAACAGCACUCUGCACAUAUAACAUUAUUUUGUGCUGGUCCGAGAUAUCAUGUAUUGAACACUGCAGGUGUUUAAUAGUGGAGUUCAACAAUGCAAUAAAAACUUCACUUCAUCAAUGUGUAUUUAAGUACAUGAACAGGAUAACAUGUUGAAUCUGUUAAUGGAUUGUCAUCUUAAUGGCUAUUCAAGUUACUCAAUUAAACUUAGUAGUUACUCUAAAUGACUAUUUAAUUUCAGUAGGACUGCUGAUGAGUAAUUUAGUCAGGAUGUCAGCCUAUGCAUAUUCUAAUAUAUAUAUAUAUAUUUAAUUGUUCUGAGCUGUUUUAAUUUGUUUUAGGUUUUUUAAAAUUGGUGUUAAUUAUGUGCCUAUCUUUUAUUGUAAAUUGCCAUGAGAUACUAUAAUUUGGCAGUAUAAAAGUGUAAUCAAUAAAUAAAUGUUUGCAUAUGGAACAAAAGAUUUUUGCAUGUUUUAGAAAAACCUUUUGGCUGGUUUAAA
This is an RNA transcript of Hemicordylus capensis (graceful crag lizard), 3459 nucleotides long. It is a transcript of the gene named suppressor of cytokine signaling 3, with no coding region annotated. The record is from RefSeq and is a predicted model, not a curated record. The transcript is spliced from 2 exons. NCBI's taxonomy places the organism in Eukaryota, Metazoa, Chordata, Lepidosauria, Squamata, Cordylidae.